Molecule: ribosomal RNA, 301 nt
Filed under: uncultured bacterium
Lineage: Bacteria
Description: partial 16S ribosomal RNA
Rfam family: Bacterial small subunit ribosomal RNA
Source: RNAcentral
CAGUAGCCGCGGUAAUACGAAGGGGGCUAGCGUUGCUCGGAAUUACUGGGCGUAAAGGGAGCGUAGGCGGACAUUUAAGUCAGGGGUGAAAUCCCAGAGCUCAACUCUGGAACUGCCCUUGAUACUGGGUGUCUUGAGUGUGAUAGAGGUAUGUGGAACUCCGAGUGUAGAGGUGAAAUUCGUAGAUAUUCGGAAGAACACCAGUGGCGAAGGCGACAUACUGGAUCAUUACUGACGCUGAGGCUCGAAAGCGUGGGGAGCAAACAGGAUUAGAUACCCCUGUAGUCCCUGUCUCUUAUAC